AGCACAGGCAGACUGGGAGAGGGUCAUUAAUUCUGUAUAAACUAGACUCUGUGUGGUGAGAAGCCUGGUUUUCUUGGAUGUCAUGCAAUGUCUUGUAAGUGCCAGAAAAUGCCACUUUCUUCUUCAUUGAAAAGAACAGUGCUAAGGCCUAAUCCAGGAAGGUGCUGAGCACCAGUGCUAGAAGCCCCUUAAUUUCAACAGGAGUUGUCCAUGUUGAUUUAUGCUCUUUAUGAUUUGUGCAUGCACCUUCAUCUAUUUGGAUGUCUUGGAACAGAUGCUUCCUGAAGGAGGUUCUGCAUCUCAGGCAGCUCUAAUUUAAAGACCAAUCCAAAGAAGAACAAAGCUGGAACACCGAUCAAUUUUUUAAAAAGAGAGGGAGGCAUCUGAGAGAAAGGAACAAGGGGGAAGGUGACAGAUAAGGCCCUAUUCCUGCCAUGAGACCUGCCUAUGUGACAGUGGGGCUCUCCAAGGGUACAGAGGACUGCCUGACUGGCUGUCACUGCAGGAUCAGGCCUCAGAGGACAGCAGUGGACAUAAGAGUUUUUAGGUAUAUAAGCCAGGCAUUGAUCUUUAAAUAUUGCUUAAUAGUGUGAAGGAACAGGCUGAAACAGGUGCCAAAGAGGAGCAAGAGACAGGUAGCAGAAGAUCCAUUUGUCUUGCCCCAGCCGUCCCUCCAUGACAGCAUGGUAGGAAAUCCUACAGGGUUAUUGUGUACCACAUUACAUUGCCUGUGUGGACUCCCUGUAUUUCAUUCUCUGCCUGGUGGAAGAGUGCCAAUUUCAUUUCCUCUGAAGACUUCCAUGUCCAUGGGGAAGGAGUUGCAAAAUCUGCCCCAAUCAUCUUAAAGUUGCUCAGAGGUGUCUCAGUUGAUGAAACCCACUGAAUGUUGACAAAAUAUUUUUCCUAUCUGAAUCCCUGCGGGUUGCAGCGUAUUGUAACUAAGUACAUUUAUAGUGGUAAAAAUCUAAAUGUAUCUUCUGGCUAAUUUGAUAAAGUUUUCAAAAAAGCUGUAUAUUAUUUUAUUGUUGUCACUUUAAUUUUAUUUUAAAACCCAGAGCAUUCAAUUUUAACCACACUUUACAGCCUAUAAAGUGACUUUCUGUUCAAAGAUCUGUUGCAAUAUACAGCCAUCCAGAAAACAGGAUGUUGUAGGUUUUGAGUACUAGAAUGUUGCCAUUUCAUCUUACUCUGCAUUGUUAUUCAUGGAAAUAAAACCUGUAAGAGCAUGUGCAGCCAUAUCUCCCAUUUUAUGUAUUCAUUUUUUAUUUCAGCCACUAAUCUGCUGUAGAUUUCAGCCUUUAGCUUGGGGUUAUUGGAAUGGCAUUGUCGCUGGAUAACAUCUGUUUCAGUUUUCAUCCAUCUAGAAUGCAAGCAUUAAUCACUACAAAUGGAAUGUGAAAUGGAAAGAAGAGUUAAAUGCACAUUUGAUUCUGAACAGUCUCAGAAAAAUGUCUUUCAAGAUCUGUCCAAAUGGAAAACUCCACUAUGAUAUAGUGGGGUUUGCAACUGUGGCUAGAGUUGAAAGCCUAUCACAUUUUCAUUAGAAAUGUCUCCUUCCUGUAGUUUAUAUUAUA
Molecule: long non-coding RNA, 1574 nt
Organism: Mauremys reevesii (Reeves's turtle)
Lineage: Eukaryota; Metazoa; Chordata; Testudines; Geoemydidae
Exons: 3
Source: RefSeq, a predicted model, not a curated record